UUUUCUCUAAACUAUUAAGAGAGAGGCAAAAAAACAACAUAAGACUAAAAAAAAUCUUAGAUCAUUGUUUUCUCUUCUCCUUUUCGAAAUCAUCAUUCUAAAAUAAUCAAUUAUUUGAAAAAAGUGUUUGACAAAUUUUUUUUUUAAAAUGAUAUACCAAUAUCAUUUAUCUAUUUAUGAUUAUAGAUAAUCAUAAAUUUUACUAAACGAGGCCUUAUUUCUUUUUCAAUUCAUUUAUGGCAUUCGAAAUUAGAGAAGAGAUUUGUAAUCAGCCUAAAUUUCUCAUCGUUUUACUGUAAAAUUUUGAUUUUUUCCCCACAAAUACUCAAGAUCUAGUCUUCGCUUAUUUGAUAGAUAUCUUAAUACUGUAUGCCAAUCCUAAAUGUGAAUUUAGAAUGAUGAUUAUCCUUAUUUAAGAUACAUACCCCUCCAGGAUUCUCUGAAAAUAAUUCGAUUGGCACUAUAACCUAAUAUUCGUCCUCUCUGGUUUUAUUUUCGACUCUGAUUCAUUUUCCUAUUGUCGUAUAUAGUGUAAAUCUGACCUGAUCAGUUAGUUCAUAAUAGGAUUCAUGCUUAUCAUCGAUCAUUAGCAAAAGCUUUUGCAUUGCUGCUUUAUACUUCUGCUACAUAUGUUUAGAAAAAUAAUAAAAAAGAAUCAGCAAGAUUUUUUUAAAUUGUUUUGGACUGUUGGUAUUGAUUAGACUAGAUUAUCGUAAUCUACUUACUUACAUGCACUUUUCUACCCGUUCAUAUCAUAACAUUCUCUUUUUAAUCUGCUACAAGUGAUUUUUCUUAAGUUACUUAAACAAAAUCCCCUGAAUAUUAGACAGUGGAAGCACAAGAGAUUAGUAGUACACUGAGAAUUUGGCAUUACCCUUGUUGUUGUGCAUGUUUGUCAUGUAUCCCUUAAAAUAGCUAUAUGGGUUAGUAGGAGUAUUGUGGGAGUGGAUAAUUCAUGUACUAGUGUAGAAGUAGAGUUAUCUGUAGCAUAAAAAACUGGCAACCUUUUAGGCAACUUCAAGCUAGUUUGCGGGCGAAAUAAUAUUUAGAUCUUGUAUGUAUCUGUAUCGAUUCCGCGGUACAUAUUUCCAUGUACUGAUUUUCGCAGUACAUAUUUUCAUGUACUGAUUUCGCGGUACAUAUUUGCUUGUGCUGGUUUCGCAGUACAUAUUUUCCUCCCGGUGAGAUUAGUUGGCAUUCUUUUUCUUAUGAUUAGAGCUCACAUAUUCAUGCCACCUAUGCCUAAUGAAAUUUUGUUUAUCAGGUGUUAUGAGAGCAUCACUUUGAAGUUAAUGUCUAGGUGAUUAUACAAAUUAUGUCCAAAAUUGUUGGUUGAGUUCUUAAAGGAUGUUGUUUUCUUUUUUCUAUAAUUGAUUACUGUAUUAUACUUGCAGGAUAUUACUAAACCAGUUACAGAUGAAAUGUGCUUUCAUUGAAGAAAAUUCGGGAUUCAUUUUCGGCAAUCUUACUUUCCUGAAUUUGUUGACGUGGAUGGGAAUCAAAUAGAGCAAUGGAACCAUAGAACCCAUCCCCUCAAGAUUUUGGAGUCACCUCAAAUGGACGGAGAAGCACAAGAACUUUGUCUAUGAGAAGCGUCAUUUAUCCUCGGAAAUGCCUCAUUAGUUGCAGUUGGAAGAAGAACAAAUGAACCACACAUCUAUCCCAUCUAGCUGACUGCCUCACAUUCUACCAAACCAUACCUUUGUCUAUGGUGGCAAACUAGCAGUUGAGGUUAGUAGACUUGUAGGCAUUAAGGUUGAGAGACAGACUGGAGGAAUUAUCUCAUCAAAUUGAAAGGAUCUGAUACUCGGUAUAUAUCGAUAUGUAUAUUAUGGUUUAACUCAGUGGAUAUGUACUGGGUUUUAACUCGGUACAUGUUGAUAUGUACUAAAGUUGGCUAAGUUAUAUAGUUUUUGGCAGAAAUUUCUUUUGCGCUCUAGGUUACUACAGGAAGAUUUGUAAUGCCAGUAUUUAAGGAUUCAUACUUUUUUCUUAGUCUUCUAUAUUAAGUUAAUACGACUAGUAUGUUGUACUAUAAGAAGUAUUGAAAUACAUUCAAUUUUCGUUUUGCAAA
Long non-coding RNA from Papaver somniferum (opium poppy), 2074 nucleotides. RefSeq lists it as uncharacterized. The record is from RefSeq and is a predicted model, not a curated record. The transcript is spliced from 2 exons. NCBI's taxonomy places the organism in Eukaryota, Viridiplantae, Streptophyta, Magnoliopsida, Ranunculales, Papaveraceae.